Molecule: ribosomal RNA, 253 nt
Filed under: uncultured bacterium
Lineage: Bacteria
Description: partial 16S ribosomal RNA
Rfam family: Bacterial small subunit ribosomal RNA
Source: RNAcentral
UACAGGGGGUGCAAACGUUGCUCGGAAUUACUGGGCGUAAAGGGCUCGUAGGCGGCCAACUAAGUCGGAUGUGAAAUCCCCAGGCUCAACUUGGGAACUGCAUCCGAUACUGGAUGGCUUGAAUUCGGGAGAGGGAUGCAGAAUUCCAGGUGUAGCGGUGAAAUGCGUAGAUAUCUGGAGGAAUACCGGUGGCGAAGGCGGCAUCCUGGACCGACACUGACGCUCAUGCACGAAAGCGUGGGGAGCAAACAGG